This 404-nucleotide ribosomal RNA is filed under the name bacterium. RNAcentral describes it as "partial 16S ribosomal RNA". It matches the Rfam family "Bacterial small subunit ribosomal RNA", at positions 355 to 776 of the family's 1533-position model. RNAcentral also lists the same sequence under 1 other name. The record is from RNAcentral.
UGGGGAAUAUUGGACAAUGGGCGAAAGCCUGAUCCAGCAAUGCCGCGUGAGUGAAGAAGGCCUUAGGGUUGUAAAGCUCUUUCACCCGCGACGAUGAUGACGGUAGCGGGAGAAGAAGCCCCGGCUAAUUCCGUGCCAGCAGCCGCGGUAAUACGGAAGGGGCUAGCGUUGUUCGGAAUCACUGGGCGUAAAGCGCGCGUAGGCGGCCGGUCAAGUGCGGCGUGAAAGUCCUGGGCUCAACCCGGGGACGGCGCUGCGGACUGUCCGGCUGGAGUCCGGAAGAGGGUGGUGGAAUUCCGAGUGUAGAGGUGAAAUUCGUAGAUAUUCGGAGGAACACCGGUGGCGAAGGCGGCCACCUGGUCCGGUACUGACGCUCAAGCGCGAAAGCGUGGGGAGCAAACAGG